Molecule: ribosomal RNA, 233 nt
Filed under: uncultured bacterium
Lineage: Bacteria
Description: partial 16S ribosomal RNA
Rfam family: Bacterial small subunit ribosomal RNA
Source: RNAcentral
AAACGGGUGCGGAACACGUACGCAACCUUCCUUUAACUGGAGAAUAGCCCCUCGAAAGAGGGAUUAAUACUCCGUAACAUAUUGAUAAGGCAUCUUAUUAAUAUUAUAGCUCCGGCGGUUAAAGAUGGGCGUGCGGCUGAUUAGAUAGUUGGCGGGUAACGGCCCACCAAGUCUGCGAUCAGUAACUGGUGUGAGAGCACGACCAGUCACACGGGCACUGAGACACGGGCCCG